ACUGGGAGGUGGACCGGACCGGGCCGUUGGGUUUUUCUCCUCAUCAGCAGAACAGGAGGAGAGGUCAAGUGUUUAAACAGCAGAUCCUGGUUGGUGACCUUUGACCCAGAAGGUGAUAACAUGUUUAUCACAGUACCAGGUUCAGUUCUCCAGAAUAAGAGUGUAACUGGACCACAGAGCAGAUGUUCUGGUCCACUGAACCUCCUGGAACCAGAACCCUCCUCCAGAGUCCAGAAAACUAACUGAGCCAGGAUUAGAGGUCCGAUUGGUUCUGAUGUUUUCUGAAUGAGGAGGAAUUAAAUCUUUCCUAAGUGGAGAUUUUUUUAAAACUCAGUUUGUCUUUUAUUCCAACUCAUCCAUCUGCCCACUAGGGGGAGCUCGUCUUCCUGCAGCUCCAGUCCUGCAGCUUUAAGUCUCUCUGCUUCAGCUGGAUCCAGUAUGAACUCCCAGUAUAGAUCUAUAGAGCUGGACUGAUGACACUUUAAUCAUUUCAUUUCAGUGUGGAGGAACAGAGACACAUCUUAAAGUCAGAGGAUUCUGGACUUCAAUGAAUGCAGGUUCAGUUUGAGAUUAAUGGACCAGAACACAGAGGAGGAGUCCGGCUGCAUCCUGCUGCAGGUUUAUUGAUGGAUUAUUGAUCCUCUGGUUGAUCAGACAUGAUGUCUUUAACUCACUGAUGGUUGAUGGUGAAAACAUGAAGGACUCUUAAAGCUGCAGCUGGAGCUCAGAGGAAACCAACUGGAU
This is a long non-coding RNA of Xiphophorus hellerii (green swordtail), 744 nucleotides long. RefSeq lists it as uncharacterized. The transcript is spliced from 2 exons. The record is from RefSeq and is a predicted model, not a curated record. NCBI's taxonomy places the organism in Eukaryota, Metazoa, Chordata, Actinopteri, Cyprinodontiformes, Poeciliidae.